GUAUCAGAACCUUAGUAGCUGGUAGAGUAGUAGUAGCAUUCGUUCGUCUUCUCCCUAGCUACUAUCUCUUGGAUCUUCAUCAGUAAAGAUUGCAGCUACUGCUCCUUGCCAAUUCCGUUCCUGUUCUUCUCCUCUUGUUCUGAAUCUUACGAAGUCGUUCUUCUUUUCCCCUUGGCGUUUGUCAACUCCUGACACGGCGGAUCCAGCGCCGGCCCUCUAUCUCACAUCGGAGGAGGAGCGCCAAUGCGCCAUCAUGCGCGGCCUCUGCUUGGCCACUCCUUCGGUGAUCCGCGCCGCCUCGACCUCUGCUCGUGUAGAGCAGGCCUAUCCCACGGUCCAUUUGCGGCGGACGCAUGCUGGAGAAGAGAGGUCGAGCGCCUCCGCCCGUUCGUCUCCCGAGUCCAAGUGCUGCCGGCCAAUUCGAGCCAGUCCGUGCCGAUUCGUCGUUCUCCACACGAGGUCCUCCUCCGCUCAAGCGUGGCUUCCACUGCGUGAGCCGACACCCCCGCUCAAGCCCAUCUCCGCCGCAAGCUCGCCUCCGGCGUCUCUGCUGCCCACAGCCCCUCCGUCCCAAGCUCGUCAGGCUGGAGGUCCCGCAGGUCCACGGCUGGAUCUUGCAUGGAUCCGGUGAGGGCUUGUCCGGCAGCUCCCGAUCUCCUCAUCGGGCUGCUUGUCGUCUUAAACAGUGAUGAGUGUAUGCUAAAGGUUUUUCUGUUUCAAUCGUUGGCCGUUCCUUUGACAAAGGAUUGAUCCUGCUGCUGACGCCCAUGCUGACCGACAAAGCUGGAGGUGACAAGCAGAUGGCAAACAAUGUGUCAUGAAUGCCCCAACAAAACAUGGCCUGUUUCAAGGAGCUAAAUUUGAAAUCUUUACUAUUCUGUUCAGAAGUAUUUGCAAACAAAAUAGUGGUCUGGAUCGAAAUUUGAAUACUUUGUUAUUCUUUAUGCACUAUUUUGUGGUGAUCCCAGUGUUUGGUGCACCAAAUAUUCACUGUCCGAUCAUAAGUACUUUGUCCAAUAGCAAUACAUUUCUGUUUUGGAACGUAGGAGCAAUAAAGAGCAUCUAUUACGAAUGGAAAAACUUGGGUCUUGGGAUCUAAAAGAUAGAUGAAAAUGAUCAACAGUUAUGAAAUACUAACCAUAUGCAGGAUACGUUGGCUGUGGGUAUGAAAGCAUAAUAGAUCAUCUGAAUUUUAUGGUGUUUACUAUUGGGUAUAUCACCUGAAUUAAAGAAUGCUUUUUUAGUAAUUGCAGUUUCAGUUGUAAAGACUCUUAGAAUUUUCAGCUGUAAAGACUCUUAGAAUCUCUAACAGUAGUGUUGUCAUUUUCUUUUCAGGUCAAGGAUAUUCCAAUGUAUCACCGGCUGGCAUGCCAAUGAUCAGCUCACACUCGACAUCAACUUCGAUUACCACUUUACCAGAAUGAAUGCCUCACUGAUGCCACCGGAGCUUUGGUUCUACCUGUCAUCUCCCUUGCUUUCCUCACGAAUGUAAUUAAAUUAUGCACAAUAAGGAACAUCUAACAAUUUGAAGCCUUGCUCAAUGAUGCUACCCAAUGACAUUCAAACUUAAUUGAAAGAAUUCCUUAUAUGACAUCGGAACUAAUCUUUAUUCCCUAUAUGACACUAGAGAAAAUUACCUCACUUAUUUGACACCAGGUUUAUCUUUUAUGCCACUUAUUUGACACCAGAUUUAUCUUUUAUGCCUUUUAUCGUGCCAAUCAUAUUUAGCAAAUAUAUGUUGUUUGGCUGGCCCAAUGUUUUAGCCUCCUAUGAAGAAAAAUGCCCAUAACCCAUGACAUGUGUUUCUUAAGCGAUAUCAUAUUCAGCAUGCAGAGGUUUUGGUUGUUAGUCUCCUUGUUUUUGCCACUUACCCAGGACAGUAUGAUAUUUGUGAUAAAGCAUAAUUCCCGUGCAUCAUCGUAUGGCAUCAAUAUCUAGCUCACACUGAUCAGUUUUUUUUCUUUAUAUGUUUGGAUGGAUUAAACCGAUCCACGAUUGAUCUCAAGGCUGCAGCUUCUAGUUAUAUAGAGAUUCUAACAGUUACCUAGCUUGCUGAGGUCAUUCUAGUUCAGUUUACAAAUUAGUGUCGAUUGUCUUAAGAUUCUAAACUAGGCUCUUCAGUUAAUAGGCUGCCUAAGAAGGUUAAGACUGCUAUUUUAGUUGCCUUCACACUAGUAAAGAAGAUAAUGUUCUGAGAUGGUAUAAUUUGAUCAACUCACAGUAUACUGAGUACUAUUGCAUCUGCACCUACAUGUCUAAAAUUUGCACCAAUUCUAGUAUCAUAUGUUGGUUUGGUUGUUUAGAUUGAUAUAUCCAACAAUUUUAUUCCCAGGGAUCAUUUGCUUUUUCAUUAAAUAAAGGUAUCUCAGGUGUGGUAAAGACUUUCGGACCUGUGUACUUUGAUUUAGAAAUGGUCUAGAUCUUCAGUUCAUUUGAUGGAGAAGGCCAUGGCUCCCUAAAGACUCCUAGAGAUCCGGCUCGAUCAGCAGAGAUGAGGGCUGAGAUGCUGCAUUACCUUUUCAAUCAGAAAACAGUGUCAACAAGUUGCCUGACGAGCUUGUUCAGUUUCAUCCCCUUUUUCAUAGGAAUAUUGAUCACAAAUAUAGUGUAUUCUAAUGAGAUUUGUGUCCCUGUAUCUACAUGUUGCCCUUGUUGACCAUAUUAUCUUGAACAAAUUAGCUGCACUCAAUUGUGAUGGACGCAGUUCUACUGCCGAGCAGUGAUAUCUAUCACUUGAAAUCUUGCCUCAUA
Long non-coding RNA from Setaria italica (foxtail millet), 2751 nucleotides. RefSeq lists it as uncharacterized. The record is from RefSeq and is a predicted model, not a curated record. The transcript has 4 exons. Lineage: Eukaryota; Viridiplantae; Streptophyta; Magnoliopsida; Poales; Poaceae.